This 419-nucleotide long non-coding RNA is filed under the name Pan paniscus (pygmy chimpanzee). RNAcentral's name for it is "lncRNA (ENSPPAG00000045519.1)". The record is from RNAcentral. Lineage: Eukaryota; Metazoa; Chordata; Mammalia; Primates; Hominidae.
AUGCCUUGCCCUGCCUCAGCUCGCGCACGGUGCGCGCACCCACUGACCCGUGGUCACUGUCUGGCACUCCCUAGUGAGAUGAACCCGGUACCUCAGAUGGAAAUGCAGAAAUCACCGUCUUCUGCGUCGCUCACGCUGGGAGCUGUAGACCGGAGCUGUUCCUAUUCGGCCAUCUUGGCUCAACAUCGACAAUUCGACUUUUAUGAGAAAAAGAUGACCCAGGGCAAAUUUGGAAGGUUCCAGAGGAAGACAUUAGGCUCUAUUCUUCAGGUUAAUCACCAGGAAAAUGGCAACAACUGAAGACAGAAUAUCAGAUUUGAGACCAAAGGAGUCUGUUCUCAUCUUUCAGGUGAAUUCCAUGACCUUGAGAGCAAAUAUACUGAGUAGUAUUUAAUAAACACUCGUUGAUUACUUCGAGA